GUAGGUGGCAAGCGUUGUCCGGAAUUAUUGGGCGUAAAGCGCGCGCAGGCGGGGUUCGUUUAAGUCUGAUGUGAAAAGCCCACGGCUCAACCGUGGAGGGUCAUUGGAAACUGGAGAACUUGAGUACAGAAGAGGAAAGCGGAAUUCCACGUGUAGCGGUGAAAUGCGUAGAGAUGUGGAGGAACACCAGUGGCGAAGGCGGCUUUCUGGUCUGUAACUGACGCUGAGGCGCGAAAGCGUGGGGAGCAAACAGGAUUAGAUACCCUGGUAGUCCACGCCGUAAACGAUGAGUGCUAAGUGUUAGGGGGUUUCCGCCCCUUAGUGCUGCAGCUAACGCAUUAAGCACUCCGCCUGGGGAGUACGGCCGCAAGGCUA
This 375-nucleotide ribosomal RNA is filed under the name uncultured organism. Its description in RNAcentral is "partial 16S ribosomal RNA". It matches the Rfam family "Bacterial small subunit ribosomal RNA", at positions 527 to 896 of the family's 1533-position model. The record is from RNAcentral.